GACGAACCGUGCGAACGUUGUUCGGAAUCACUGGGCGUAAAGGGCGCGUAGGCGGCCUCUUAAGUCGAACGUGAAAUCCCCGGGCUCAACCCGGGAACUGCGUCCGAUACUGGGGGGCUUGAAUCCGGGAGAGGGAUGUGGAAUUCCAGGUGUAGCGGUGAAAUGCGUAGAUAUCUGGAGGAACACCGGUGGCGAAGGCGGCAUCCUGGACCGGUAUUGACGCUGAGGCGCGAAAGCCAGGGGAGCAAACGGG
Molecule: ribosomal RNA, 253 nt
Filed under: uncultured bacterium
Lineage: Bacteria
Description: partial 16S ribosomal RNA
Rfam family: Bacterial small subunit ribosomal RNA
Source: RNAcentral